Molecule: ribosomal RNA, 499 nt
Filed under: uncultured Glomeromycotina
Lineage: Eukaryota; Fungi; Glomeromycota
Description: partial small subunit ribosomal RNA
Rfam family: Eukaryotic small subunit ribosomal RNA
Source: RNAcentral
CCAAUAGCGUAUAUUAAAGUUGUUGCAGUUAAAAAGCUCGUAGUUGAAUUUCGGGGUCAGUAGGUUGGUCGUGCCACUGGUAUGCACUGGCCUUACUGAUUCCUCCUUCUUGAAGAACUGUGAUGUCAUUUACUUGGUGUUGCAGGGAAACAGGACUGUUACUUUGAAAAAAUUAGAGUGUUUAAAGCAGGCUAACGCUUGAAUACAUUAGCAUGGAAUAAUGAAAUAGGACGUUUGAUCCUAUUUUGUUGGUUUCUAGGAUUGACGUAAUGAUUAAUAGGGAUAGUUGGGGCAUUAGUAUUCAAUUGUCAGAGGUGAAAUUCUUGGAUUUAUUGAAGACUAACUACUGCGAAAGCAUUUGCCAAGGAUGUUUUCAUUAAUCAAGAACGAAAGUUAGGGGAUCGAAGACGAUCAGAUACCGUCGUAGUCUUAACCAUAAACUAUGCCGACUAGGGAUCGGAUGAUGUUAAUUUUUUAAUGACUCAUUCGGCGCCUUACG